AUGCCACCUUCCGUGCACGACACGGAAGGCCUGCCGUUCAUGAAGCAUGGUUGUGUCUUCCGUGCAUACCGCCGGAAGAACGACAUGCUGGGACACGCUAUCCCUGAUUUAUGCCGCUUCAGCUUGGAUGAGUCUCCAUCGUGUGGAACCGGACUAGAAAGUUGCGACAAUGAUUCCCGUUGCCCACCGCUAUGGAUCGUGCCAUCCAUGAAGUACACCUGGGACUGGAACCUGGAGGAGGACAUACGCAAAUGUGUUGGCCUUCAUGAUUCUAGGACCUGGAAUCAUACCAGCCGAUGGUACCAUAUAACUGGAAUUAACCAAUGCAAGUCGAAGAAGGAUUGGCCGGUGCUACCGGCUGGUGUCAAGUUCGAUCCCACGGAUCAGGAGCUGAUCGAGCACCUUGAGGCCAAAGUGAGUGCUAACAGCGUGAGAUCUCACCCUCUCAUCGAUUUGUUCAUACCAACCAUCGACAGCGAGCACGGCAUAUGCUACACCCAUCAUAAGAAACUUCCAGGUAUCACACUGGGUGGCCUAAGCAAGCAUUUCUUCCAGCACAAUUCCAGGGCAUUCAAAAGGGGCACGUGGACGCCUCGCAAGAUACAGUCGGAGUGCGGCAUGCACGCGAUGUGGCACAACACUGGCAAUACCUUGCCGGUGAUGGUCAACGGCCGGCAGACGGGCAGCAAAAAGGUUCUGGUGCUGCACACCAACAAGAACUUCGACCAGCAGAGGACCAGCUGGGUGAUGCACCAGUACCACCUCGGGGACCUGGAGCAAGAGAAGGAGCGGGAGCUGGUCCUCUGCAAGAUUUUCUACCAGACGAACACUAGGGCCAGGAGUAAAAAGAUUAUAAGUCGAGCCCAGCCCAUGACGACAACGGGGCACAAAGAUCUAGCAGGUAUCUACUGGCCUCUGGCCCGCCAGCGUUAG
Molecule: ribosomal RNA, 933 nt
Filed under: Triticum aestivum (bread wheat)
Lineage: Eukaryota; Viridiplantae; Streptophyta; Magnoliopsida; Poales; Poaceae
Description: partial small subunit ribosomal RNA
Source: RNAcentral